Molecule: ribosomal RNA, 509 nt
Filed under: Glomus sp. Glo1B
Lineage: Eukaryota; Fungi; Glomeromycota; Glomeromycetes; Glomerales; Glomeraceae
Also listed under: 1 other name
Description: SSU rRNA
Rfam family: Eukaryotic small subunit ribosomal RNA
Source: RNAcentral
AGCAGCCGCGGUAAUUCCAGCUCCAAUAGCGUAUAUUAAAGUUGUUGCAGUUAAAAAGCUCGUAGUUGAAUUUCGGGAUCAAUAUUUCGGUCAUGCCGUUGGUAUGCACUGUUAUCAUUGAUUUCUCACCUUCUAAAGAACCGUAAUGCCAUUAAUUUGGUGUUACGGGAAAUUAGGACUGUUACCUUGAAAAAAUUAGAGUGUUUAAAGCAGGCUCACGCUUGAAUACAUUAGCAUGGAAUAAUGAAAUAGGACAUCCGAUUCUAUUUUGUUGGUUUCUAGGAUCGAUGUAAUGAUUAAUAGGGAUAGUUGGGGGCAUUAGUAUUCAAUUGUCAGAGGUGAAAUUCUUGGAUUUAUUGAAGACUAACUACUGCGAAAGCAUUUGCCAAGGAUGUUUUCAUUAAUCAAGAACGAAAGUUAGGGGAUCGAAGACGAUCAGAUACCGUCGUAGUCUUAACCAUAAACUAUGCCGACUAGGGAUCGGAUGAUGUUAAUUUUUUAAUGACUCA